ACCCGCGCGCACUCCUCUCCUCUCUAGCCGACAGCCGCCCCCCCUCUUUCGCUGACCACCGGGCCCCGCGCGUCAGCACCUUCCUUCUUCUUCCCUAGCGCGUUCCGAACCGGAAACGAGCUCCGGAAGGAAAGCGAUCUCGGUUUCCUCGGGAUCUUUCCUUCCUCGCGUCUUUGUAGCCAUAUAAAGGCCCCGAACCUCGCCCGCACCCCGUGCUUCCCCUCUAAGCCGCC
This 233-nucleotide long non-coding RNA is filed under the name Sorghum bicolor (sorghum). RNAcentral's name for it is "long non-coding RNA (SBIC_LNC003335)". Lineage: Eukaryota; Viridiplantae; Streptophyta; Magnoliopsida; Poales; Poaceae. The record is from RNAcentral.